GAUGCUAGAGUAGAACCGGUCUGGACCUUGUUAAUGUAACUGCUGCCAGCUUUCCUGUAAGGAUCCCCAUCCAGGUGGUGAGAGGCCUUGCCUGGAAGAAGAACAGGUUACACCAAGAUGGGGAAUGGAGCAGUGUGCAGCUGUCACCAGCCAGGCGGAGACUUUAGGAUUCACUUCUGGACAGGGACAGGGAAAACAUUUUCCUUUCAAUGCCUCGAGGCCCUUCAGCAACUGUAGGAGCAGGCGUGGUGUUGUCGCUACUGUCAAAUCCUGGACCCGGCAGCCGACUUUUUCCUGACUUGGACAUGAGCAGCAGAAGCAAGGGAAGUUUCAAGACACACAGUAAAGUUUGCUUCAGUCCAGGGAUCACAGUGCACAAAACCCGAGCAUACUUCUGAGCUCUCCGUGAUGUUGAAAAAGUGGCUGUCACAGUGGAAGGAGCAUGUCUGUUUGGGACUGUGAGUCACAUAGAAGCCACUCUGGAAGAGAAUCUUCUUCAAGAAUGACCAAAUGCUUAACCUGCCUUGUGCCCAGCUCAGUGCAGAGAGAAGUUACUACACUGAA
RNAcentral lists this long non-coding RNA (564 nucleotides) under Mus spretus (western wild mouse). RNAcentral's name for it is "lncRNA (ENSMSPG00010033354.1)". Lineage: Eukaryota; Metazoa; Chordata; Mammalia; Rodentia; Muridae. The record is from RNAcentral.